This 76-nucleotide transfer RNA is filed under the name Candidatus Peregrinibacteria bacterium CG10_big_fil_rev_8_21_14_0_10_36_19. Its description in RNAcentral is "tRNA-Gly". It matches the Rfam family "tRNA". From Rfam's summary of the family: Transfer RNA (tRNA) molecules are approximately 80 nucleotides in length. Their secondary structure includes four short double-helical elements and three loops (D, anti-codon, and T loops). Lineage: Bacteria; Candidatus Peregrinibacteriota. The record is from RNAcentral.
GCGGGUGUCGUAUAUCGGUUUAUUACCUCAGCCUUCCAAGCUGAUGAGAGGGGUUCGACUCCCCUCACCCGCUCCA